This 80-nucleotide transfer RNA is filed under the name bovine gut metagenome. It matches the Rfam family "tRNA", at positions 6 to 65 of the family's 71-position model. From Rfam's summary of the family: Transfer RNA (tRNA) molecules are approximately 80 nucleotides in length. The record is from RNAcentral.
CUGGUGGCGGAAUUGGUAGACGCGUCAGACUUAAAAUCUGGUGGCCGCAAGGCCGUGGGGGUUCGAGUCCCCCCCUGCCC